Molecule: ribosomal RNA, 30 nt
Filed under: Peucetia viridana
Lineage: Eukaryota; Metazoa; Arthropoda; Arachnida; Araneae; Oxyopidae
Description: partial 28S ribosomal RNA
Source: RNAcentral
UCAAAUUUCGGAGUAAAGGAAGCGGAGGAA